This 427-nucleotide ribosomal RNA is filed under the name uncultured bacterium. Its description in RNAcentral is "bacterial SSU rRNA". It matches the Rfam family "Bacterial small subunit ribosomal RNA", at positions 354 to 772 of the family's 1533-position model. The record is from RNAcentral.
GUGGGGAAUUGUUCACAAUGGGCGCAAGCCUGAUGACGCAACGCCGCGUGGGGGAUGAAGGUCUUCGGAUUGUAAACCCCUGUCGAAUGGGACGAAAGACUCGCGAGUUAAUACUUCGCGAGAGUGACGGUACCGUUAAAGGAAGCCACGGCUAACUCUGUGCCAGCAGCCGCGGUAAUACAGAGGUGGCAAGCGUUGUUCGGAAUUACUGGGCGUAAAGGGCGCGUAGGUGGCCUACUAAGUCAGACGUGAAACCCCCAGGCUUAACUUGGGAACUGCGUCUGAUACUGGAAGGCUUGAGUUCGGGAGAGGGAUGUGGAAUUCCAGGUGUAGCGGUGAAAUGCGUAGAUAUCUGGAGGAACACCGGUGGCGAAGGCGGCAUCCUGGACCGAAACUGACACUGAGGCGCGAAAGCUAGGGGAGCAAA